Molecule: long non-coding RNA, 1081 nt
Organism: Solanum dulcamara
Lineage: Eukaryota; Viridiplantae; Streptophyta; Magnoliopsida; Solanales; Solanaceae
Exons: 6
Source: RefSeq, a predicted model, not a curated record
CAAGUAGGGGUGGACAAAAUUUGGUGGAUGAAAAAGCUCAAGGAAAAUGAAGAGUAAAGAAAGAAAAGGUGGAAAGUUUGUGGACACUUUCAUAACACUCUUCACCAACAACAGAACUCUUAAAACCCCAAAAAUUCAAGGGCUCUCUCUCUUCUCUCUCAAUUUGGCGCAUUUCUACUGUGUCGUAUUUGCUGGUCUUUCUUUGGGGUUGGAGGGAUGAUGACCGGUGAUAGCAGUCUUUAAGGAUCCAGAAACCGUCAACCAUGAGCAGUUUACCACUGAGCUAGGUCUAAGAGAGAAUUAUGGUCCUCUAAAUCUCUUGGAAAAUCGGUUUGAAUGAGCUCCUUCAACAAUUAUAUCUCAGUUUGACCUAUGACUAGGUGUAAGGCUGCAAAAAAUGGUGUUAAUAACAGGAUGGUGACCAAGAACAUUCGAAGUCCAGUUUUGGAUUAUGUUAUGCAGGACACUUUUGAAGGUUGACAAAACAGAAAGAAAGUCAUCACAUCUUCAAGUGAGGAGUAUGAUGUAUGAGUAGUAGUACACAUUGGAUGAAAUGUGAAUCCAAAAGCUUUGGUGGAAAGAGCAAGUAACUGUCUCUGGUGGGAGGUGGCAGGCGUCUCAUGAAAUUAGUCGAGGUGCAUGCAAGCUGGCCCAGACACCACGGUUAUCCAAAAAAAAGGAUGAUGUGGACCUCCUUUACUUGAUUGUCAAGAAGAGUUGUUUCUUCUGGGGUUUGCUUCCGAAAGGGUCUUAGACCUCAGCUUGGAAAAAACAUGGUUUAGGUAAUUGAUCUACGCGAGACCUUCCAUUGAUCUAGGGAGCAGGAUCAACUCCUUCUAUGCCCCAGGAAAAAGCUAAAAGUAAAGCAAUCAUCAAGCCAGAGCUAGUUUCACAGCUACCGAUUUGCACACGCGGGUCAAAGAAUCAAGAAAAAGUCAAUUUUCAUUCUUGUUCUUGUUAAUCCAUCAAUUAUCAUCCACCGAAUAUUGAAAUCGGCGGACAAAGCAUGUGCUUGAGAUUGAAAAUUCAUGUUCAAUUUUAGAUAUUUUUAUUUAAAUUGUGGUCUUGUGAAAAUCAAAUA